AGUCAUGUGACCACCGACGAUAUCUACGAUAGUACUAAAUUGCCAGGAUGAAAUAAUUCUCUUUUGUGCCCGGCUUCCUCACUCACCUUCAUAGGCAUAUCAGACCAGCAAUAAACAACAAACAUGGCACAGGCUUGCCACCAAUGGUAGAUGGUGAAGAUGAAGUCCUGCCGUUCUUUGUCUUCAUAAAGCAUCCCCAGAAGUGCUACAGGAAAAGAGUGGUACAUCAUCAGAAUUGUCUCAUCAUAAUGCAAGAUGAGCUGCAUCUGAAGCAGGCCUGUGGAAGACAACAUGGAAACUCAAGGAUUAAUCCUUUUUGCCCUUGGUCUAUCAUUCAGCUGCUAUAGAAGGCUUCCAUCUUCAGCCCUGUGUUCCUCCAUUGCAGUAAACCACAAAUUAUGGUUUACAAAUCACAAAGACUGAGUUUUCACAACAUCCAAUCCCAUACCAAGCAAGCCAAGUUAUGUUUCUGCAUGAUGUACGAACUGAACUACACCGUGUGCACAAUUAUUAGGCAAGUGAGUAUUUUGCCCAUAUCAUCCUUUGUAUGCAUAUUUUCCACCUCCAAGCUGUGUAAACUUAAAUGCUUAGUGGAUAUAAGAUCGGGUGAUGUGUAUAGUGUAUAAUGUACAGUGUACAGUGAUGCUCAGAAAAAAACAAAAAAUAAACUUUGUU
This is a long non-coding RNA of Pantherophis guttatus, 675 nucleotides long. RefSeq lists it as uncharacterized. The record is from RefSeq and is a predicted model, not a curated record. NCBI's taxonomy places the organism in Eukaryota, Metazoa, Chordata, Lepidosauria, Squamata, Colubridae.